Molecule: ribosomal RNA, 218 nt
Filed under: Campeiostachys nutans
Lineage: Eukaryota; Viridiplantae; Streptophyta; Magnoliopsida; Poales; Poaceae
Description: Elymus nutans partial small subunit ribosomal RNA
Rfam family: Eukaryotic small subunit ribosomal RNA (bases 46-218)
Source: RNAcentral
GGACCAUCAUGUUGGUCGUGCCUAGGUACGUACUGGCAUUAUUGGUUUCUCCCUUCUGACGAACCAUGAUGUCAUUAAUUUGGUGUCAUGGGGAAUCAGGACUGUUACUUUGAAAAAAUUAGAGUGUUUAAAGCAGGCUUAUUAGGCUUGAAUACAUUAGCAUGGAAUAAUGAAAUAGGACGUUUGAUCCUAUUUUGUUGGUUUCUAGGAUUGACGUA